RNAcentral lists this ribosomal RNA (371 nucleotides) under uncultured archaeon. Its description in RNAcentral is "bacterial SSU rRNA". It matches the Rfam family "Archaeal small subunit ribosomal RNA", at positions 347 to 718 of the family's 1478-position model. The record is from RNAcentral.
ACUUUACAAUGCUGGCAACAGCGAUAAGGGAACCUCGAGUGCCAGGUUACAAAUCUGGCUGUCGAGAUGCCUAAAAAGCAUUUCAUAGCAAGGGCCGGGCAAGACCGGUGCCAGCCGCCGCGGUAACACCGGCGGCUCGAGUGGUAACCGUUAUUAUUGGGUCUAAAGGGUCUGUAGCCGGCCGGAUAAGUCUCUUGAGAAAUCUGGCAGCUUAACUGUCAGGCUUUCAGGAGAUACUGUCUGGCUCGAGGCCGGGAGAGGUGAGAGGUACGGGAGGGGGAGGGGUGACAGCGUGGAAUGCGUGAAGGGGCAAGAGUGGCGAAGGGGUGUCACGAGAAGGGACCGGAAGGCAAGGGGCGAAAGCUAGGGGG